RNAcentral lists this ribosomal RNA (419 nucleotides) under bacterium. Its description in RNAcentral is "partial 16S ribosomal RNA". It matches the Rfam family "Bacterial small subunit ribosomal RNA", at positions 355 to 776 of the family's 1533-position model. The record is from RNAcentral.
UGGGGGAUAUUGCACAAUGGGCGAAAGCCUGAUGCAGCGACGCCGCGUGGGGGAUGAAGGCCUUCGGGUUGUAAACUUCUUUUGCUCUGAACAAGGCAUGCUAAUGGGGGUGUUGAGUGUUGGGGUUGAUUAGCGCCGGCUAACUACGUGCCAGCAGCCGCGGUAAUACGUAGGGCGCGAGCGUUGUCCGGAAUUAUGGGGCGUAAAGGGCUUGUAGGUGGCUGGUUGCGUCUGUCGUGAAAGCUCAUGGCUUAACUGUGGGUUUGCGGUGGGUACGGGCUGACUUGAGUGCAGUAGGGGAGGCUGGAAUUCAUGGUGUAGCGGUGGAAUGCGCAGAUAUCAGGAGGAAUACCGGUGGCGAAGGCGGGUCUCUGGGCUGUUACUGACACUGAGGAGCGAAAGCAUGGGGAGCGAACAGG